GAGGGUGUAGCUCAGUGUUAGAGCACAUGCUUAGCAUGCACGAAGUCCUGGGUUUAAUCCCCAGAACCUCCA
RNAcentral lists this transfer RNA (72 nucleotides) under Camelus ferus (Wild Bactrian camel). It matches the Rfam family "tRNA". Rfam says of the family: Transfer RNA (tRNA) molecules are approximately 80 nucleotides in length. Their secondary structure includes four short double-helical elements and three loops (D, anti-codon, and T loops). The record is from Rfam by way of RNAcentral. Lineage: Eukaryota; Metazoa; Chordata; Mammalia; Artiodactyla; Camelidae.